This 211-nucleotide long non-coding RNA is filed under the name Nicotiana benthamiana. RNAcentral describes it as "long non-coding RNA (NBEN_LNC011248)". Lineage: Eukaryota; Viridiplantae; Streptophyta; Magnoliopsida; Solanales; Solanaceae. The record is from RNAcentral.
GAAAACCAUGACUGAACAAGAACUCCAAAGACUUGGGGUCACGAGUAUAGAGCCUCUAACAAUACUGAAUACAAGUCUGAAAGGAAAGAUACAUGUAUCUGAAUAACAGAAAAAUAACUAGUAAGAUCAGAGUAAUCGGUCCUGCGGACACUGGCAGCUACCUCAAUACUAUGGCAAACGAAUAAGCGACAACAACAACACUAGAUCUCUG